This 497-nucleotide ribosomal RNA is filed under the name uncultured bacterium. Its description in RNAcentral is "partial 16S ribosomal RNA". It matches the Rfam family "Bacterial small subunit ribosomal RNA", at positions 28 to 507 of the family's 1533-position model. The record is from RNAcentral.
GAUGAACGCUGGCGGCGUGCCUAAUACAUGCAAGUCGAGCGAACGGACGAGAAGCUUGCUUCUCUGAUGUUAGCGGCGGACGGGUGAGUAACACGUGGAUAACCUACCUAUCAGACUGGGAUAACUUCGGGAAACCGGAGCUAAUACCGUAUAAUAUUUUGAACCGCAUGGUUCAAAAGUGAAAGACGGUGUUGCUGUCACUUAUAGAUGGAUCCGCGCUGCAUUAGCUAGUUGGUAAGGUAAUGGCUUACCAAGGCAACGAUGCAUAGCCGACCUGAGAGGGUGAUCGGCCACACGGGAACUGAGACACGGUCCAGACUCCUACGGGAGGCAGCAGUAGGGAAUCUUCCGCAAUGGGCGAAAGCCUGACGGAGCAACGCCGCGUGAGUGAUGAAGGUCUUCGGAUCGUAAAACUCUGUUAUUAGGGAAGAACAUAUGUGUAAGUAACUGUGCACAUCUUGACGGUACCUAAUCAGAAAGCCACGGCUAACUACGUG